GCGUAAACAAGUCAACAAAUUUAGAGUGGAAAAGAAAAAUUAGGAAGCGGGGCUGCGAACGUUGACACAACCAAUAACUCUCACUAUAAAACCCCUCAAACCUUAGCAUCCUAAUUAACUGUAACUAUAAAUAAAUAAAUAAAAACAAGUGUUUCCCUUCUUCUCCAGCAGCCAAGUAAGCGAUGGCCAGAAACAGUGAGAAAAAUAGGGAAUCAAGCAGGUUGCAUUGGACGAAUGAGAAGCACCUACAUUUCUUGAAUUCAAUGGAGGCUUCCUUUGUUCAAUCCAUGCUCCAAAAUAACGCCCGAUUUGCUCCUCUCGACCGUUAUUUACCCGACACCUCCGAUUCCACCCACGAUUUGGACAAGUAUAAACCAACUACCUCUACUUUUCUUUCAGGUAUAAUUAUACAUAUACAUGUAUAUCAUGAUCAUUUAUCAUGUACGUGUAUUUUUUUUGGAAAUACAAAAUACUGAAAUCUGCUAGCAACAAUAAUUUUGUGGUUGAAGUAAUAAUUUGGAUUUGGACAAGUCUUGGGAAAAUCUCGAUUGAUGCGAUUUCUUGGUGGUGCAAACUCUUUGUGAUAAGAAGAACACGACUGGUGAUCUAAUCUCAAAGUAGGCCAGUGAUGUCUAUUUUUUUAAUAAAAUUAAUGUGAUAGAAGAAAGAGCACUUUAUAAAAUAAAAUAAAAAUCUUGGCAAGGAUCUCGAUUAAUUUAGUUUUCUUGGUUUGACCUAAACGAGAUGCACUUGUUAGUCCAUCAAAUUAGAGAAAUCUUUUCAAGGGGUUAGCAUGACUUUGUUGAUGAUGUAACUUUAUUAAUUUGUUGACUUAAAGAGCUCCUAAAAAAAAACUUAAAAUAUAAGUGUGCACUUAUUAAUUUAAUUUCUAGGGGAAGGAUAUUUAAUGUAAGUGUGCACUUAUUAAUU
RNAcentral lists this long non-coding RNA (930 nucleotides) under Salvia miltiorrhiza (redroot sage). Its description in RNAcentral is "long non-coding RNA (SMIL_LNC003421)". The record is from RNAcentral. Lineage: Eukaryota; Viridiplantae; Streptophyta; Magnoliopsida; Lamiales; Lamiaceae.